Molecule: ribosomal RNA, 497 nt
Filed under: uncultured bacterium
Lineage: Bacteria
Description: partial 16S ribosomal RNA
Rfam family: Bacterial small subunit ribosomal RNA
Source: RNAcentral
GAUGAACGCUGGCGGCGUGCCUAAUACAUGCAAGUCGAGCGAACAGACGAGGAGCUUGCUCCUCUGACGUUAGCGGCGGACGGGUGAGUAACAUGUGGAUAACCUACCUAUAAGACUGGGAUAACUUCGGGAAACCGGAGCUAAUACCGGAUAAUAUAUUGAACCGCAUGGUUCAAUAGUGAAAGACGGUUUUGCUGUCACUUAUAGAUGGAUCCGCGCCGCAUUAGCUAGUUGGUAAGGUAACGGCUUACCAAGGCAACGAUGCGUAGCCGACCUGAGAGGGUGAUCGGCCACACUGGAACUGAGACACGGUCCAGACUCCUACGGGAGGCAGCAGUAGGGAAUCUUCCGCAAUGGGCGAAAGCCUGACGGAGCAACGCCGCGUGAGUGAUGAAGGUCUUCGGAUCGUAAAACUCUGUUAUUAGGGAAGAACAAAUGUGUAAGUAACUAUGCACGUCUUGACGGUACCUAAUCAGAAAGCCACGGCUAACUACGUG